This 465-nucleotide ribosomal RNA is filed under the name uncultured bacterium. Its description in RNAcentral is "partial 16S ribosomal RNA". It matches the Rfam family "Bacterial small subunit ribosomal RNA", at positions 28 to 507 of the family's 1533-position model. The record is from RNAcentral.
GACGAACGCUGGCGGCGUGCUUAACACAUGCAAGUCGAACGGAAAGGCCCUGCUUGCAGGGUACUCGAGUGGCGAACGGGUGAGUAACACGUGGGUGAUCUGCCCUGCACUUCGGGAUAAGCCUGGGAAACUGGGUCUAAUACCGGCUAGGAGCCAUUUUUAGUGUGAUGGUUGGAAAGUUUUUUCGGUGUAGGAUGAGCUCGCGGCCUAUCAGCUUGUUGGUGGGGUAAUGGCCUACCAAGGCGGCUACGGGUAGCCGGCCUGAGAGGGUGGACGGCCACAUUGGGACUGAGAGACGGCCCAGACUCCUACGGGAGGCAGCAGUGGGGAAUAUUGCACAAUGGGCGCAAGCCUGAUGCAGCGACGCCGCGUGGGGGAUGACGGCCUUCAGGUUGUAAACUACUUGCGCUAGGGACGAAGCUUUUUGUGACGGUACCUAGAUAAGAAGCACCGGCUAACUACGUG